UGGGGAAUCUUGGACAAUGGGCGCAAGCCUGAUCCAGCCAUGCCGCGUGGAUGAUGAAGGCCUUAGGGUUGUAAAAUCCUUUCGUGGGGGACGAUAAUGACGGUACCCCAAGAAGAAGCUCCGGCUAACUUCGUGCCAGCAGCCGCGGUAAUACGAAGGGGGCUAGCGUUGUUCGGAUUUACUGGGCGUAAAGCGCACGUAGGUGGCGACGUAAGUCGGGUGUGAAAGCCCCGGGCUCAACCUGGGAAUUGCAUUCGAGACUGCAUUGCUGGAGUACGGAAGAGGAGGGCGGAAUUCCCGGUGUAGCGGUGAAAUGCGUAGAUAUCGGGAGGAACAUCAGUGGCGAAGGCGGCCCUCUGGUCCAGUACUGACACUCAAGUGCGAAAGCGUGGGGAGCAAACAGGAUUAGAUACCCAGGUAGUCCCUGAGCGGGCUGGCAAGGCGCAU
RNAcentral lists this ribosomal RNA (447 nucleotides) under uncultured bacterium. Its description in RNAcentral is "bacterial SSU rRNA". It matches the Rfam family "Bacterial small subunit ribosomal RNA", at positions 355 to 825 of the family's 1533-position model. The record is from RNAcentral.